GCCCACGUAGCUCAGUCGGUAGAGCACAUGCAUGGUAAGCCUGAGGUCACCGGUUCGAUUCCGGUCGUGGGCU
RNAcentral lists this transfer RNA (73 nucleotides) under Candidatus Omnitrophota bacterium. RNAcentral's name for it is "Candidatus Omnitrophica bacterium tRNA-Thr". It matches the Rfam family "tRNA". From Rfam's summary of the family: Transfer RNA (tRNA) molecules are approximately 80 nucleotides in length. Their secondary structure includes four short double-helical elements and three loops (D, anti-codon, and T loops). The record is from RNAcentral. Lineage: Bacteria; Pseudomonadati; Candidatus Omnitrophota. RNAcentral also lists the same sequence under 1 other name.